RNAcentral lists this ribosomal RNA (465 nucleotides) under uncultured bacterium. RNAcentral's name for it is "partial 16S ribosomal RNA". It matches the Rfam family "Bacterial small subunit ribosomal RNA", at positions 28 to 507 of the family's 1533-position model. The record is from RNAcentral.
GACGAACGCUGGCGGCGUGCUUAACACAUGCAAGUCGAACGGAAAGGCCCUGCUUGCAGGGUACUCGAGUGGCGAACGGGUGAGUAACACGUGGGUGAUCUGCCCUGCACUUCGGGAUAAGCCUGGGACACUGGGUCUAAUACCGGAUAGGAGCCAUUUUUAGUGUGAUGGUUGGAAAGUUUUUUCGGUGUAGGAUGAGCUCGCGGCCUAUCAGCUUGUUGGUGGGGUAAUGGCCUACCAAGGCGGCGACGGGUAGCCGGCCUGAGAGGGUGGACGGCCACAUUGAGACUGAGAUACGGCACAGACGCCUACGGGAGGCAGCAGUGGGGAAUAUUGCACAAUGGGCGCAAGCCUGAUGCAGCGAAGCCGCGUGGGGGAUGACGGACUUCGGGUUGUAAACUCCUUUCGCUAGGGACGAAGCGUUUUGUGACGGUACCUAGACAAGAAGCACCGGCUAACUACGUG